CUUGCUGAAUGAAAUGGGAAAAACACACACAUACUUAGGGAGUGUGUGUAAGGAGAGGAAUUUCAGGAUCAAGGGAUGCAAGUGGCAGGAUAAAGUAAUCUUUUCAAGUUUUGAAGCCCCCAUAUGCCUACAGGAAUACACUGCUUAGCAAGCCAUGCCAGGCAGUUGCCCCUGGAGCCACAUCACCAUGGCUGAAAACACCACAGGAGCGAUGGCCACAGACUCUGUGCACUGCUGAGCUCUGCUGGAGAAGGAUACAGAGAGAUGAACAAGGAAUUGGUGUUAUGAAAACUCACUGGAACAUUGGAAACAUGUGGAAUAUGGGAAAGAUGAGAAUAGAGUAGCCCAUUCUGGAAAGAAUUCUCAAAUGACACUUUGCUGAGCAAGAAGGCUUCUUUGAUGGGCUAAACGUUCCUGGGCAUGAGAAGGGGAGGAGGAACAGGAGAGGACAGAUGGUUCUCUGGAACAUAUGAAACAAAAAGAAAAUUCAAGAACAUCUUUGAUGGACACGUGUUACAUGGAAACAUCUUUGUUAUAUGCUUAGUUGGGGCACAAUAAUAAAUGCAAAUGGAUCGAGUGUCUUUCAUAACAUUCAGGACAAAUGCUGAAGAGCCCUGUUUAAACAGACAAACAAGCAAGAUCAAGAAACCACUGUUUAAGGUAAGUAGAAAGGACUUUUGAAUGAUUGAUCCUUUCAAUGAGUGGCUCCCUGUGGCUCCGAAUUGUUUAAUAAGAAUAUAAGAAUGAGACUCUUUCUUUUAAUAAGAAUAUAAGAAUGAGACCCCUACACAGUUUCUUCUCUGAGUGAGUCACCAAUAAUUAUGUAGGAAAGCAAGUUCAUCUCACAUUAUCUUGCUCUAUGCACAAAGCAGUCUAGAAAGAAUCCCAGACAGUAUCUACUGUAUCAUGUUUCACACCAGUCCUCAAAAUAACUCUGAAUAAAGUCAUAGAAAGAACCUGAACUGAGAAGACAGAAGUUAUUUCAAAAGCCUUUAGAUUCUGAGAAUCAGCUCUUCUGGCUUUGGUGUUUUUUGUUUUCCUCUGUGGAGCCAUUUCUAGAUGUGCCAUCUGCCCACAUAAUACAUACCGUUCAACAUUGCAGCUGCAAAGUAAAUGAGGGGCCAGGAUGAGGAGCAGAAGUUAACACCUUAAAACCAGAACCACCCUAGAAUCAAUGGUAAAUGGUUAAUGGCUAUGAUGUCUGGAGAAGUCUGUCAGGCCAGACAGAGAACUUGGGCAACAGAUACCCAAGGCUAAAGAGUAAGGACUAUCAGAAUGAACUGUAGAAAAGUAAUGGAGAACAAUUUGCAUGUACAUUUUUUUUUAAUGGGGAAGCUGUAGUAAGAGAGGGACACUUUCUCAAAUAUGAGUGAUGGGUACAUGUAUUCUAGCCAGACAGUGAUGUUUCAGUGGGUCAUUAUUAUGAGAAAAGAAUUAGGCUGGACAAGUUUGUGUGUCUAUUACCCAUGGGAUUCACAAAAAUAGGCUCUAGAGUUCAAUUAAAUAGCUAUCCUAUGGUAAAAUACUCACUGAUGCUUUUGUUCCAUGCUUUUCUUUUUUUCUUUUAAAAGUUUUUGCCUCCCUUUGGUAGCACAGGAUAGAUCUAGGUGUCAUCACUGUUGAACAUCAGAUAUUUCAAGCUUUCUCCAUAUUAGUCCUGCAGAGUAAGGUAUGAAGGAUAGAAUCAGGAUGGUGUCUGCUUCUUUUUGCACAAAAUCCUUUUAAAUUCUAUAAAUCCUGGUCUUGAAAUACUCUCCUGUGGAAAAUACCAAGAGAAAAAAAGAAAACCCCAGGGACAAAAUAAAGGAUGAGACAAAUGAUGGUGAUUUUUAAAUUAUGUUUUUCCCCCUUUGAAAGCUACAUAUCCUCAUACUCACUGUCCACUAAAAAUAUGUUUUGGCCUUUAAAUAAGUGAGUCAGAAUGCUAUCUGGAUAUGCCCCUUCCUCACAAUCAAGCUGUAAAUAUGUUGACUUUUGAAAAAGUUAUGCAUUUUGUACGUCAUUAUGUAAAUGUGGUCAUAGUCUUAGUGUUAAACAGACCUAUUUUCAGAAAAGACUUUCUAAAAUUCCUCCGCAAAAUUUAGCAAAUAAUUACCAAACAGUUUUGUCCCUCUAAAUACCUAUCUAAACAUUGAAACCCUUAAAUUUUCUGGUACAUGUAUGAGGCCUAAUACAAUCAAAUUUAUUUACUGCUCUUCCCUCUCCCCAUCUCAGAGAACAGAAAGCAAAAACACACAAAAAGAUUCCACUGAGACAAGAAUUACAUUCUUCCUCUAAUGACAGUUUGAGCAUGAUCUUUUGAAAUUGUGGUUUUGUUACUGAGUUUAAGCUUGUAUUGCUCCCCAGUGUGACAAGUCAAUAAAUCAAGAAACAAAUUAUUAGGGCAAGGAAUAGCCACCUUAUUUGGAAAGCCAGCAGAUUGAAGAGAUGUUGGACUAGUGUCUCAACCAUUUUUAUCUGAGUUAGAAUUAGGAAGCUUUUAUUACUAAAAGGUGAGGAGCAUGGCUGGUUGUUGUAAACUUCUGAAUACUGGAAUUCUUGUGGUCUUGCAACUGUCUAUACAUAUCUGGACACGGUGUUCUUAUAGAUAAGACAAUUGUUAUUUUCUGUUUUGCAACUUCUUAUUUCUAUGUGAAUGGAAAAUUGUGAUUCCUUGAAAGGUCAGAGCCUUGAGAAUGGUCUAUCAUUUAUAUUUCAGGCUGUAGGAAACAUUCUUUUACAAAGAGUCAGGGCCACUAUGGCCAAGUGAAGAUAGCCAAGCUCUUGCAAAGGUGGAAACCACGGGAAUGGGUCCAAUAUGGAGUCAGGUUUGUUCUUCUCUGUUACAGUUUUGCUGUAACAAGUGUUAUUGGAUCUUGGGUUAGUGAAUAUUAGAGAACAGGAAUACGGAUAAGGUGUUCAGUAGUCCAUCCUCCACACCUUCCAUACUUGGCCACAUUGAGAAAACUCAUUGGUCGUGACUGUAAAGUAGUAUAGCAUUAGGUUUCACAAACUUGAAGAAUAUGGUGGAUAAAAAAGAAUCAUGUAUCUUUUCCAAUUCUGUCUCUUACUAGCCUUGUGACUUAGAGUUUAAGUUUCCUAAUCUACUAAUGAGAGAUAACCUUUUUUUCUCUGAAAAGUUUUUUUUUUUUUGAAAAUUAAGGAUUCAAAGCAUUUAAACAUACUUACUCUAGAGCCUGGGACAGCCUAACUAACUGGUUAGUAGCUGUUGUUUAACUUUAUGUCCAGACAAAAAUUUAAUAUCCCUGUCCAAUAUGGUUAGUCUUUAAAACAAUUUUGUUUCAUUUUACAAGUGGAAAAAUAAUGUUACAGGAAAAUUGAUAGUUAGAAAAUUAUUCAAAUAGCUCCCUAUUAUUUAUUCCAUGACACGUAAAAAAAUUUAGAGUAUUUUUUCCAGCAUUUAUUCAUUAUCACAUAAUGUUCCAUUUUUUUUCUUGGUAAUCAUUCUGUACACACAGCUGGCAUACUCUUUUACAUACUGUUUUCUGUAUUGUUUCAUAACCAUGAAAUUUUGACAUCCACAGAAAGCUUCAUAUCACAAAAACACAUUUAAUAUUUAAAAUGUUUUCUUUUUGAAAUUUCAAAAAUUUACUUAAAACAAAUGUACUUGUAACAACUACCCUUAUGUAUCAAGUAAAAUGAGUUUAUUGAUUUAUACUAUGCAUGGAUUAGUAUAUCACAUCCUUGCUACAGAGCUUUUUAGUUUAUCUUUUCAGUGUAAAGCAAUUAAAGUUAUGUAGAGUUAAAAAUGUAUUAUGUUUGGAAUAUCUUGCAGAUAAAAUAAAUACCGAACAGAUAGCACAAAGCCCUGCAUACACUAACGAAUGCAUUGUAUAUGGCAAUGAUGGACUUAACCUGGAGGUAAAUUACUCAUCCUGCCUGAUUAUCUGAAAACAUUAACCAAGCAAAAGUAGUUGCUGAUAAUAUACAAUAUAUUUUCCAGCAGAUUUUUGUCCUUGAUAAGAGAUUUUGAUAAAUCUGUUUAUCAAAGACAAUUUUAUUUCUCUUCCCAUUCUUUUUAAAACACUAUCUAUGGAAGGAAUUCUUCAUCUAAGAUCCAUGGGCCAUGAUGGGAGUGGGGGUUAUGGAUGGAUACUGCUUAAAAUUGUGUCCAAAUCUAGGAUUUAUACCCGUGUGUUUUGGUCUCAGGAGAAUGACUGGACUUCAUAGGAUCUAGUGCUGAAUUUGGUGGUAUCUCACUUUACUUACAGCUGUAAAGUAAUGCACUCUAGAAUGAUCUGUAGGUUCUUUCUUGUGUUUGGAAGUGUGUGUGUGCAUGCUAAGUUUAGCCCUACCCUUCCUUUCUUAUCAGUAGGAAAGGAACUAGAGGGAUUUGGAGUGGGCUGUUGGAAAACAAACAAGAAAACCCCAAACCAGUGUCUUCCUCAGUGGCAGAAUGUCCAGGGCACAUGUUGUUCUUCACAUUUCUCUUCCUCGUAUUGAAACAAAAAUACAUAUGUUUCUCUUUGGAGGGACUCACAGCUUCCGAAAAUGAAGGGAAUGUGCCUAGUUAGCCAACAUCACCUUCUCUUCUCUAAACUUGCAAAAAGUUGAAUCUCAAAUCUAUACAUUGUAAACACUCCUUUCUUCUACUUAUUUUUAGGUUUUUAUUUUUCUAUUAUAGUUGAUUCUACAUUGUUUUGUCAGUUUCUGCUAUAUAGCAAAGUGACCCAGUCAUAUAUAUAUAUAUAUAUGCAUAUAUACAUUCACACAUAUAUACAUCCAUAUAUAUAUAUACAUUCACACACACACACAUAUAUAUACACAUUUCUUUUUCUCGCAUUAUCCUCCAUCAUGUUUUAUCACAAGUGGCUAGAUAUAGUUCCUAGUGCUACACAACAGGAUCUCAUCUACUCCAAAUGCAAUAGUUUACAUCUACUAACCCCUAACUCUCAGUCCAUCUCAUUCCCUCCCCCUUGGCAACCCCAAAUCUGUUCUCUAAGUCCAUGAUUUUAUUUCUCCUCUGUAGAUAGGUUCAUUUGUCCUGUAUAUUAAAUUCCAGAUAUAAGCAAUAUCAUAUGGUAUUUGUCUUUAUCCUUCUGACUUACUUCACUUAGUAUGAGAGUCAUCCAUGUUGCUACAAAUGGCAUUAUUUUGUUCUUUUUAUGGCUGAGUAGUAUUCCAUUGUGUAUAUAUACCACAUCUUCUUAAUCCAUUCAUCUGUCAAUGGACAUUUAAGUUGUUUCUAUGUCUUGUCUAUAGUGAAUCAUGCUCCAGUGAACAUAGGGGUGCAAGUAUCUUUUCCAGUGAAAGUUUUAUCCAAUUAUAUGCCCAAGAGUAGGAUUGCUGGGUCAUUUGGUAGUUCUAUAUUUAGUUUUCUGGGGUACCUCCAUACUGUUUUCCAUAGUGUUUGUACCAAUUUACAUUCCCACCAGCAGUGCAGGAGAGUGCUCUUUUCUCCACACCCUCUCCAGCAUUUGCUAUUUGUUGACUUGUUAAUGACGACCAUUCUGACUUUUGUGAGGUGGCACCUUGGGAAAAUAGGACAUCUACAUGUUAAUCAAUGAAACUAGAACACAGCCUCACACCAUGCAGAAAAAUAAAUUCAAAAUGGCUUAACAACUUAAACAUAGGACAAGACACAAAACUCCUAGAAGGGAACAUAGGCAAAACAUUCUCUGACAUCAGCCAUACAAAUAUUUUCUUAGGUCAGUCUCCCAAGGCAACAGAACUGAAAACAAACAAAAAAUCAGUGAGACCUAAUCAGUCUUCUACUUUUUGAAAUAAUAAUAUCUGUGCAUCUAUCUAUGAUUUCAUUUUUGUCUUUUCCAUUUCACAACAUUAAAAAUGUUUAAAUUGCUGAGUAUAUAAGGCUAUUUUCUAAAAUUCAAAGAAUUUGUCCUAUAUUUCUUGAACAUACAAUCAACCAGGAAACAUUAAUUUUUAUUUUAGCACUGAGUUAAGAUUAGCAAAUUGUAGAGGCUUCUUCUUUCUUUUUUUAAAUUUAUAUAUUACUCAAUGAAUUUAUUAUAUCUAUAGUUGUACAAUGAUCAUCACAAUCCAGUUUUCCAUCCCACACCCACAGUGCUUCCCCCCCAGUGCUUCUCCCCAGUGCUUUCCAUCCUACACCCCGAGUGUUUCCCUAAACCUCUCUCUUUUGGAAACCAUAAGGUUUUCAAAGUCUGUGAGUCAGUAUCUGUUCUGCAAAGUUAAUUGUGGCCUUUUUUCAGAUUCCAUAUGUCAGUAAAGGCUUUUAAUAUUGGUGUCUCAUUGUCUGACUUCACUAUCACUAGCAUGAUAAUUUCUCUGUCCAUCAUGUUGCUAAAAAUGCCAUUAUUUCAUUUCUUUUGAUGGCUGAGUAAUAUUCCAUUGUGUAUAUGUACCACAUCUUUAUCCAAUCCUCUGUUGAUGGAUAUUUAGGUUGUUUCCAUGUCUUGGCUAUUGAAAAUAGUGCUGCAAUGAACAUUGGAGUACAUGUGUUUUUUCGAGUCAUGGUUUUCUCUGGAUAGAUGCCUAGGAGUGGGAUGGCUGGAUCAAAUGGUAGUUCCAUGUUUAGUUUUCUGAGGAAUCGCCAUACUGUUUUCAAUAGUGGUUGCCCCUAUUUACAAUCCCACCAACAGUGUAAUAGGGUUCCUUUUUCUUCACACCCUCUAUAGCACUUACUGUUUGUAGACUUUUUGAUGAUGGCCAUUCUGGCUUGGUGGAAGGUGGUACCUCAGAGUGGUUUUGAUUUGCAUUUCUCUAAUAAUGAGUGAUGUUGAACAUCUUGUCAUGUGUUUUUUGGCCAUCUGUAUGUCUUGUUUGGAGAACUGUCUGUUUAGAUCUUCUGCCCAUUUUUUGAUGGGGUUGUUUGUUUUUUUGGUAUUGAGCUGUAGGAGGUGUUCAUAAAUUUUUGAGAUUAUUCCCUUGUCAGUCAAUUCAUUUGCAAAUAUCUUCUCCCAUUCUGUGGGUUGUCUUUUCACACACACCUACAGUCAACUAAUCUAUGACCAAGGAGACAAGAAUAUACAAUGGAGAAAAGACAGCCUGUUCAAUAAGUGGUGCUUGGAAAACUGGACAGCCACAUGGAAAAGAAUGAAAUUAGAACACUCCCUAACACCAUACACAAACAUAAAUUCAAAAUGGAUUAAAGACCUAGAUAUAAGACCAGAUACUAUAAAACUCUUAGAGGAAAACAUAGGCCAAACGCUCUCUGACAUAAAUGACAACAACAUCUUCUCAGGUCCACCUAUUAGAGUAAUGACAGUAAAAACAUAAAUAAAUGGGACUUAAUUAAACUUAAAAGUUUCUUCACAGCAAAGGAAACCCUAAACAAAAUGAAAAGACAAUCUAUUUUAUUUCUUUAUUUUUUUAGGUCCUCACCCAUGGCAUAUGGAGGUUCCCAGGCUAGGGAUCCAGUCAAAGCUGUAGCCACCAGUCUACACCAGAGCCACAGCCACUGGGGAUCUGAGCCAUGUCUGUAAUCUACACCACAGCUCACAGCAAUGCCAGAUCCUUAAGCCACUGAGCAAGGCCAAGGAUCAAACCCACAUCCUCAUGGUUGCUAGUUGGGUUUGUUAACUACUGAGAGGCUUCUAUUUUCAAUGUUAUUUUAUUUACAGGGGAGGAAGCCCAGAGAUACUAGGUAACUUGCCAGAAACCUCAAAGCCAGUACCUGGUAAAACAGAGUUACUCCAGGUUUUUCUGAUUCUUAUGCCUUGACUCUUUCCAAAUUUUACCUUUUCCUUGAACAUACUAAAGAUUCUUUUAAGAUCACAUGGCAGAAAGUGCAUAUGCUGGUGUGCCCAAGGAAAUAAAAUGGGCAAAGCCUGAGGUGGUUAAACUGGUCUCAGUCAGGGCUGGAAACACACCACUGAGCAUAAGCCACCUUGGUCAAUUCAAUGUCGGUGUGUUGGGAAAAGCAAUUGUCUUAAAAGUCUACAAAGUAAUGCUUUAUUUACCUGAUCCAGGGCCUCUGAGUUAUGCAAAAGAAUACUCUAUAAAAGAAUCACAUCAUUGGUAUUUGAGAUGUGUUUAUUAUCUUGGCAAAUAGAUCUACUUAGAUACAAGGUUUGCUCUUCAAACUUGGACCUAGCCACACUUUGAUUUAUCUAAAAUAUCCCUCCAAAGUGAGAACUCAUUCACUCUUAAUGAUUCUCCUAUAAAUUUGUUUAUGGGUGAUUUCAGCUAUGAGGUGUCAACUGGGACACAGAUUUAAUGAACAUGGGUAGGGUAAAUCUUCCAUUACAGAGGACAAAUGAGGCAUUUUGUUCAAGACAAUUUACUAAGUAUGUCCUAUAUAAUGAGAUCUGCAUUGUAACAAAGCGAGCAUGUGUCUCCUGUUUGGUUUAGAAAAGAGCUGUAUCAGAGUUGGUGGAUGACCAUAGCAGCUUUUACAGUGGUGCUGUUGGUGUUGUAAUUUGACAAGCUUUCAGAAUAGCCUGGCGCCAGACUCACUUUUGUCAAUGCUAAAUUAAGGGUUCUUCAUAACUGGAAAGCAAUCACUUAUGUAAGCCAGCAUACAGAUCUAAGAAUGGUGGGGGGUGGGGAACUGCUGUAAUAACAAUGAUAAACACAAGGAGCUGCAAAAGGACAAACAUUAAUAUGUUAAAAAAAGACUUCAAAAUCCUAGAAUGUGGGGAAGGAAAGUAAAAUCUAAAGUCUUUUUUUUUUUUUUUUAAUAAUGUGUUUGAGACUUACGACUAUCAGGCUAAAGCAAGCAGAUACAGGAAGGGGUUAACAUACUUAAAAAACAGGGCAGCCACAAAUCAAAACCAAAUAUUACAUUCACAAAAACUAGAAAGAAAAGUACACAAGCAUAAAAUAAAUAG
RNAcentral lists this long non-coding RNA (8750 nucleotides) under Sus scrofa (pig). RNAcentral's name for it is "lncRNA (ENSSSCG00040028168.1)". The record is from RNAcentral. Lineage: Eukaryota; Metazoa; Chordata; Mammalia; Artiodactyla; Suidae.